UACGUAGGGGGCGAGCGUUGUCCGGAUUUAUUGGGCGUAAAGAGCUCGUAGGCGGCUUAGCAAGUCGGGUGUGAAAACUCCAGGCUCAACCUGGAGACGCCACUCGAGACUGCUAUGGCUAGAGUCCGGUAGGGGACCACGGAAUUCCUGGUGUAGCGGUGAAAUGCGCAGAUAUCAGGAGGAACACCGGUGGCGAAGGCAGGUCUCUGGGCCAUUACUGACACUGAGAAGCGAAAGCAUGGGGAGCGAACAGG
This 254-nucleotide ribosomal RNA is filed under the name uncultured bacterium. RNAcentral describes it as "partial 16S ribosomal RNA". It matches the Rfam family "Bacterial small subunit ribosomal RNA", at positions 524 to 776 of the family's 1533-position model. The record is from RNAcentral.